RNAcentral lists this ribosomal RNA (664 nucleotides) under uncultured marine archaeon. Its description in RNAcentral is "bacterial SSU rRNA". It matches the Rfam family "Archaeal small subunit ribosomal RNA", at positions 23 to 693 of the family's 1478-position model. The record is from RNAcentral.
CUGACUGCUAUCGGAUUGAUACUAAGCCAUGCGAGUCAUUGUAGUAAUACAAGGCAGACGGCUCAGUAACGCGUAGUCAACCUAACCUAUGGACGGGGAUAAUCUCGGGAAACUGAGCAUAAUACCCGAUAGAACAUUAUGCCUGGAAUGGUUUAUGUUCCAAAUGAUUUAUCGCCGUAGGAUGGGACUGCGGCCUAUCAGUUUGUUGGUGAGGUAAUGGCCCACCAAGACUAUUACAGGUACGGGCUCUGAGAGGAGUAGCCCGGAGAUGGGUACUGAGACACGGACCCAGGCCCUAUGGGGCGCAGCAGGCGAGAAAACUUUGUAAUGUGCGAAAGCACGACAAGGUUAAUCCGAGUGGUCUCUGCUAAAGGAACCUUUUGACAGUCCUAGAAACACUGUUGAAUAAGGGGUGGGCAAGUUCUGGUGUCAGCCGCCGCGGUAAAACCAGCACCUCAAGUGGUCAGGAUGAUUAUUGGGCCUAAAGCAUCCGUAGCCGGCUCUGUAAGUUUUCGGUUAAAUCUGUACGCUCAACGUACAGGCUGCCGGGAAUACUGUAGAGCUAGGGAGUGGGAGAGGUAGACGGUACUCGGUAGGAAGGGGUAAAAUCCUUUGAUCUAUUGAUGACCACCUGUGGCGAAGCCGGUCUACCAGAACACGUCCC